This 497-nucleotide ribosomal RNA is filed under the name uncultured bacterium. RNAcentral describes it as "bacterial SSU rRNA". It matches the Rfam family "Bacterial small subunit ribosomal RNA", at positions 28 to 509 of the family's 1533-position model. The record is from RNAcentral.
GAUGAACGCUAGCGGCAGGCUUAAUACAUGCAAGUUGAGGGGCAGCAUGAUAUACGCGAGUAUAUUGAUGGCGACCGGCGGACGGGUGAGUAAUAGGUAGGAGACCUACCUCAUACAGGGGGAUAGCAUAGAGAAAUCUGUGGUAAUACCCCAUGAGGUUAUAUGAAUAGAGGCAUAUAAUCAAAGCAUAAGUGAUUAUGCGGUAUGAGAGGGGCCUACUGACCAUUAGCUAGUUGGUGAGGUAAGGGCUCACCAAGGCGAAGAUGGUUAGGGGUUUUGAGAGAGAGACCCCCCACAUUGGAACUGAGAGACGGUCCAGACUCCUACGGGAGGCAGCAGUAGGGAAUAUUGGGCAAUGGGCGAAAGCCUGACCCAGCCAUGCCGCGUGAAGGAAGACGGCCCUACGGGUUGUAAACUUCCUUUGUAAGGGAAUAAAUAGUCUUACGCGCUAAGACGUUGCAGGUACCUUACGAAUAAGGAUCGGCUAACUCCGUGCC